This 89-nucleotide transfer RNA is filed under the name Chloroflexota bacterium. RNAcentral describes it as "Chloroflexi bacterium tRNA-Ser". It matches the Rfam family "tRNA". From Rfam's summary of the family: Transfer RNA (tRNA) molecules are approximately 80 nucleotides in length. Their secondary structure includes four short double-helical elements and three loops (D, anti-codon, and T loops). Lineage: Bacteria; Bacillati; Chloroflexota. RNAcentral also lists the same sequence under 1 other name. The record is from RNAcentral.
GGAGAGGUGGCCGAGUCCGGUUGAAGGCGACGGUCUCGAAAACCGUUAUAGGUGCAAGCCUAUCUAGGGUUCAAAUCCCUACCUCUCCG